Molecule: ribosomal RNA, 253 nt
Filed under: uncultured bacterium
Lineage: Bacteria
Description: partial 16S ribosomal RNA
Rfam family: Bacterial small subunit ribosomal RNA
Source: RNAcentral
UACGGGGGGGGCAAGCGUUGUUCGGAAUUACUGGGCGUAAAGGGCUCGUAGGUGGCCAACUAAGUCGGACGUGAAAUCCCUCAGCUUAACUGGGGAACUGCGUCCGAUACUGUAUGGCUUGAGUUUGGGAGAGGGAUGCGGAAUUCCAGGUGUAGCGGUGAAAUGCGUAGAUAUCUGGAGGAACACCGGUGGCGAAGGCGGCAUCCUGGACCAACACUGACACUGAGGAGCGAAAGCCAGGGGAGCAAACGGG